UAUGAUUGAGUGUAAGGCAUUAAAAAUUUUGAUUUUUUAGGUGAUAUUUAAAUAUUAAUCAUAA
Molecule: transfer RNA, 64 nt
Filed under: Acerentomon microrhinus
Lineage: Eukaryota; Metazoa; Arthropoda; Protura; Acerentomata; Acerentomidae
Description: tRNA-Gln
Source: RNAcentral